GGGGGGGGGGGGGGGGGGGGGGGGGGGGUGGGGGGGGGGCGGGGGGGGGAGAGGGGUGCUGCUGUGAUGUUAGCGGGGGGCGGGGGGGUAACACGUGGAGCACCUGCCUAUAGGGCUGGGAUAACUUCGGGAAGCCGUAGCUAAUACCGGGUAAUAUUUUGAACCGCAUGGUUCAAAAGUGAAAGACGGUCUUGCGGUCACUUAUCGAUGGAUCCGCGCUGCAUUAGCUAGUUGGUAAGGUAACGGCUUACCAAGGCAACGAUGCAUAGCCGACCUGAGAGGGUGAUCGGCCACACUGGAACUGAGACACGGUCCAGACUCCUACGGGAGGCAGCAGUAGGGAAUCUUCCGCAAUGGGCGAAAGCCUGACGGAGCAACGCCGCGUGAGUGAUGAAGGUCUUCGGAUCGUAAAACUCUGUUAUUAGGGAAGAACAUAUGUGUAAGUAACUGUGCACAUCUUGACGGUACCUAAUCAGAAAGCCACGGCUAACUACGUG
This 497-nucleotide ribosomal RNA is filed under the name uncultured bacterium. RNAcentral's name for it is "partial 16S ribosomal RNA". The stretch from base 51 to 497 matches the Rfam family "Bacterial small subunit ribosomal RNA", at positions 39 to 507 of the family's 1533-position model. The record is from RNAcentral.